UCCCGCAUAGCUUAGUCAGUAAAGAAUCUGCCUGCAAGGCAGGAGACCCAGGUUCGAUCCCUGGGUUGGGAA
RNAcentral lists this transfer RNA (72 nucleotides) under Bos taurus (domestic cattle). It matches the Rfam family "tRNA". Rfam says of the family: Transfer RNA (tRNA) molecules are approximately 80 nucleotides in length. Their secondary structure includes four short double-helical elements and three loops (D, anti-codon, and T loops). The record is from Rfam by way of RNAcentral. RNAcentral also lists the same sequence under 4 other names. Lineage: Eukaryota; Metazoa; Chordata; Mammalia; Artiodactyla; Bovidae.